Molecule: ribosomal RNA, 459 nt
Filed under: uncultured bacterium
Lineage: Bacteria
Description: partial 16S ribosomal RNA
Rfam family: Bacterial small subunit ribosomal RNA
Source: RNAcentral
CCUACGGGAGGCAGCAGUGAGGAAUAUUGGUCAAUGGCCGAGAGGCUGAACCAGCCAAGUCGCGUGAGGGAAGAAUGUCCUAUGGAUUGUAAACCUCUUUUGUCAGGGAGCAAAGUCACCCACGUGUGGGUGUCGGAGAGUACCUGAAGAAAAAGCAUCGGCUAAAUCCGUGCCAGCAGCCGCGGUAAUACGGAGGAUGCGAGCGUUAUCCGGAUUUAUUGGGUUUAAAGGGUGCGUAGGCGGGUUAUCAAGUCAGCGGUAAAAUCGUGGAGCUCAACUCCAUCCAGCCGUUGAAACUGAUGAUCGUGAGUGGGCGAGAAGUAUGCGGAAUGCGUGGUGUAGCGGUGAAAUGCAUAGAUAUCACGCAGAACUCCGAUUGCGAAGGCAGCAUACCGGCGCCCGACUGACGCUGAAGCACGAAAGCGUGGGUAUCGAACAGGAUUAGAUACCCUUGUAGUC